UACAGAGGGGGCAAGCGUUGUUCGGAAUUACUGGGCGUAAAGUGUGCGCAGGCGGCCGCGCAAGUCGAGUGUGAAAUCCCCGAGCUUAACUUGGGAAUUGCGCUCGAAACUACGUGGCUGGAGUGUGGCAGAGGAAGGUGGAAUUCCACGUGUAGCGGUGAAAUGCGUAGAUAUGUGGAGGAACACCGAUGGCGAAGGCAGCCUUCUGGGCCUGCACUGACGCUCAUGCACGAAAGCGUGGGGAGCAAACAGG
Molecule: ribosomal RNA, 253 nt
Filed under: uncultured bacterium
Lineage: Bacteria
Description: partial 16S ribosomal RNA
Rfam family: Bacterial small subunit ribosomal RNA
Source: RNAcentral